This 19-nucleotide non-coding RNA is filed under the name Arabidopsis thaliana (thale cress). The record is from RNAcentral. Lineage: Eukaryota; Viridiplantae; Streptophyta; Magnoliopsida; Brassicales; Brassicaceae.
UACUGAAGAUUUCGAUGUU